AAUAUAUUAAGGUAUGGUAAGGUACAGUAUAGUAAGGUAUAAUAUAUUAUGGUAUGGUAAGGUACAGUAUAGUAAGGUAUAAUAUAUUAAGGUAUUGUAAGGUACAGUAUAGUAAGGUAUAAUAUAUUAAGGUAUGGUACAGUAUAGUAAG
This is a long non-coding RNA of Oncorhynchus keta (chum salmon), 151 nucleotides long. RefSeq lists it as uncharacterized. The record is from RefSeq and is a predicted model, not a curated record. Lineage: Eukaryota; Metazoa; Chordata; Actinopteri; Salmoniformes; Salmonidae. The transcript is spliced from 3 exons.